AUGAGCUCUACAGCAUCCACGGAUUGUGAGAAGAGUUCUGCACAGUGCGAGCAUGAGUCGACACGUUUCUCAAGAAAAGAAACGGCCCUUGUAACUGUCGGAGGACCUGUGUGCUGUACAAAUGAGAGUGUAAUAAGCUGUGAGUCCAGCCUUGGCCAUCGGUAAUGACAACGUCAAGCUGUUCUCCGGUACCUGCUUUCUGGGAUGGAGAAUUUAAGGAAGUGGAGCAAUACGCAAUGUCAUCUGGGGGACCAAGAGUGUGGUUUGAAGGGGACCUCACUGGGAAUGCAUACUAUUCUAGGCAUUUAUACCUGUGAACAAGGAUUGUUGUGCUGCCACCAAGAAAAAUGGAUAAUUCUGAUUUGGAAGAAUUUCACAACCAUUUUCCGUGGGCAGAAAUGAAGAUGCAAAGGCUAUGGUAAAGGAGAAUCAGACCUAGAGACUAUCCUGAGUUUCAUGGAAAUGAUCAGACAGAACACUUCCCCAUCACAAAGUGCUUCUGGCAUGUCAAUGGUAUGUUGUCUGUAUUCAACUGUGGGAUUGCCCUA
This 548-nucleotide long non-coding RNA is filed under the name Apteryx owenii (little spotted kiwi). Its description in RNAcentral is "lncRNA (ENSAOWG00000008387.1)". Lineage: Eukaryota; Metazoa; Chordata; Aves; Apterygiformes; Apterygidae. The record is from RNAcentral.